Molecule: long non-coding RNA, 342 nt
Organism: Trematomus bernacchii (emerald rockcod)
Lineage: Eukaryota; Metazoa; Chordata; Actinopteri; Perciformes; Nototheniidae
Exons: 4
Source: RefSeq, a predicted model, not a curated record
AUUGUGUUCAUCUCUACAGGAUCAGACCAGGAGAGACGAUCAUAGCCACGAUCCAGAAGACCUGUGACAGGAAGUGAAGACACAGAGAAAGUUUAUUCAUCACGGGGCGAGUUUGAGACGUACAGAGGAGCGUGGAGGCAUUUUGGAAAAUAAAGAAGAAGGCUGCAGCUGAUGAGAGACUUCCUGUUGGCUCUCCUCAAUAUGAAAUGAACAAAAACAAUCAAUUGUACUUAAAGCUUUUCUUAAAGAUGUGUUGCACAUACACCUGCUGCUACCUACCACCACCUCCCACCCAUCCCGGCACCAAAGAGGAGACUCCAUCGACCCCAGAUACCCCAACUC